UGGACCAAAGAUGAGAGUUUUCAUGAAUCCAGAAUUAUGAUUAAUCUAAUUCUAUGUACUUGAAGUUCAGA
RNAcentral lists this small nucleolar RNA (71 nucleotides) under Vicugna pacos (alpaca). RNAcentral's name for it is "Small nucleolar RNA SNORD112 (ENSVPAG00000017686.1)". Lineage: Eukaryota; Metazoa; Chordata; Mammalia; Artiodactyla; Camelidae. The record is from RNAcentral.